UACGUAGGGACCGAGCGUUGUCCGGAAUCAUUGGGCGUAAAGAGCGUGUAGGCGGCUACUUAAGUCCUGCGUGAAAUCUUGCGGCUCAACCGCAAGCGGUCGUGGGAAACUGGGUGGCUAGAGUGCGGGAGAGGAGAGUGGAAUUCCUGGUGUAGCGGUGGAAUGCGCAGAUAUCGGGAGGAACACCAGUGGCGAAGGCGGCACUCUGGGCCAGAACUGACGCUGAGGAGCGAAAGCGUGGGUAGCAAACAGG
RNAcentral lists this ribosomal RNA (253 nucleotides) under uncultured bacterium. RNAcentral's name for it is "partial 16S ribosomal RNA". It matches the Rfam family "Bacterial small subunit ribosomal RNA", at positions 524 to 776 of the family's 1533-position model. The record is from RNAcentral.